AUGUGCACCCGGGGGGGCUGGGGGGGAACGACAGGACCUGACGGUGCGGGGAACGCCUGCGAGCGCAGCCUUUCAUCUGCCGAGCCUCUGCACCGGCCCCGCCGGCCGGAGCGGGGCGGGGGCGGCGGCGCCCCCCACCCGCGCUGCCCGCCGGGCCCUCGGGGUCCCUGCGAGGCCGCGGGGCUCGGCAGCCUCCGAGGCGCGUCCGGGGGUCUGGCGGGGCCCCGCCGCUGCCGGGGAGCGGACAGAGGCCGUGCCCGCACCGGUGGCGCUCCCCGCACAGGCACUCGGCAGGUGCCCCAGAGAGCGGGCGAGGGCCGAGACAACCAGCGAGCCGGUCCGGGCGCUCCUGUCCCGGCGCUAUCCCCGUCGGCGGGACGCGCUCCCGCAGGGACACGCUUGGCAGAGCCGCGUCUCCCGAGCUGGCGUGAGCGGGGCAGUGGGACAGGAAAGGACGAGAACGCCCCAGUCUUCUGCUUUUUCUCCCGAGAGUUGCCAGGCUAACUGCUGAAUGGCUUUGGAAGAGCUUUAACCUGUCCCCAGCAAGGGGACACACGCCAUGUAAAACAAGAUCCGUGGCAAGAUGAGGAUGCUGGGGAAUGCAGAGCCCAGGGGGAAGGUGAGACCAGCAGCAGCUGUGAGGACACAGGGCAGGGGCAGAGGGGAGAUUUGCUCUGCAAACGUGCAGCGCCUUCCACCCUGCCCGGGCCUCAGACCUCGCUGUGCCUCUGACUAAAGGUAACACAAGAAGAGAAUGGCCCCACAUAGAAGCAGCUUUUCAUUCCCCAGUGCCAGGUGCCAACGCCUUUAACCUCAUGUAACUCCUUGGAGAAGUCAACGGAUCCAAACAGGCAACAGCCCGAGGGUGGCCAUGUGCCCACCUGUGCCCACCUGUGCCCACCUGUGCCCAACUGUGCCCACCUGUGCCCACCUGUACCCACCUGUGCCCAUCUGCGCCCACCUGUGCCCACCUGUGCCCACCUGUGCCCACCCGCACCCACCUGCGCCCACCUGUACCCACCCGCGCCCACCUGUGCCCACCUGUGCCCACCUGUUCCCACCCGCGCCCACCUGUACCCACCCGUUCCCACCUGUGCCCACCUGCGCCCACCUGUGCCCACCUGUACCCACCCGCGCCCACCUGUGCCCACCUGUGCCCACCCGUGCCCACCUGCGCUGGUGGGAGCUCGCCCAGCCCAGCACACGCGGUGCCACCAGCCAGCCCCGGUGCUGCCCGGCAGCACAGAGCCCUUGCUGCG
This 1259-nucleotide long non-coding RNA is filed under the name Junco hyemalis (dark-eyed junco). RNAcentral describes it as "lncRNA (ENSJHYG00000002839.1)". Lineage: Eukaryota; Metazoa; Chordata; Aves; Passeriformes; Passerellidae. The record is from RNAcentral.